This is an RNA transcript of Anneissia japonica, 1648 nucleotides long. RefSeq lists it as uncharacterized. The transcript has 3 exons. The record is from RefSeq and is a predicted model, not a curated record. Lineage: Eukaryota; Metazoa; Echinodermata; Crinoidea; Comatulida; Comatulidae.
CUUAGCCUCAUUUUUAUCGCCGUUCUGACUUAUUGUCGUUUUUAUCUUGCCGUUUUUACUUCUUGCCGUUUUGGUCCAUUGCCGUUCUGGUGAAAGAGUGUUGCCUUUUUUUUUUUGCCGUUUUGGUCAUUGCUGUUUUGACUUAUUGCCGUAUACGGUAGGUUUAUUGCUGUUUUGACCAGAAAGCGAUUAAACCGUAACCAACACAAACAACAGCGCUAAUUUGAUAUUCUUCACAGGAAGGAGAGCCUCUACAAAAGUUUCAUGAAACUGCCAUGGAUGGACUGGCAGUUUUGAAAAUGCGGUUGAUCCGUCCACAAAAUUCAAGACUAUUAAAGUUAAGGAGCCUAUCUUCAGAUGCAAACCCCAAUGAGCCACCAAAAUUCUUCAGUUUUAUUGCCAAUAUAAAGAAAUACUUUAAAAAUUUAAAGUGGGUUCCAAUCCCAUUGAGUGUUGGAUUUGGAUAUAUAUGCUAUCAGCAGUAUUCACAUAUAAGGAAACGUGAACUUAAACAGGCGUAUAAUGAAGUUGAUCCCCAAGAAUCAUUACUAAAGGAUUGGCAAAGACACAUGCUGUUGCAUUGGUGAGGCUGAUAAGAAAAAGUAUUAUUAUGGCACGUCUAGGGCCGGAAAUUAUGGAAUUGAUACAGCUGGGUAGACUGAAGCAAUGUAGCUAAAGUGCCUUGCCCAAGGACACAAGCAAAUCUGCACAGCGGAGACUCGAAACCCCAACCUUACGAUUGAGAGCCCAAACCUGAACCGCUGCGCCAAACUGCCGUGCAAGAAGAGACUAGACUUAAAGAUAUGGCAAAAAUGAUUGGGAAGUAGAAAGUUAACAGAAGAAUAUAAAAAGACAUUGUUGUAUAAGAUUGAUAUCGUUAAAGUUAAGAAGGUUUAGAUUACUGAAUAAAUGAGAGGAGUCAGACCUCGGUGAUGCGCCAGAUAUAAUCCAGAUCCCCUUUUUUUUUAAAAGAAAUACGAGUUUAUGAAAAUUGGAUGGGUACCGUAAGCAUUAGCCUAGACAAAAUUACAAUAGCCCUGAUAAGGUAAAAUGAAAGAGCAAUAAAGAAUCGGUAGUAUUUUUAAGGAAUAAAUAAGGACAGUCUAAAAAUGAUACCAAGGCUUUUGGAGACUUUGAUUCAAUCUCAUUAAUUUGAGUUUUCCAUGUAAGGGAGCUAUCGAGGAAAACUCCAAGAAAUGUAUCACUUUCAACAGAAGUUAUUUUAAAAUUAUCUAUGAAAAUACUAAAAGAGGAGGAGUCAAUAAACCUAUUCUUUUGGGAGCUUCUAAACAGAAUGAAGCUGCAUUUUUUGUGAAUAAUUGAAAGUUAUUAUUGGUUGAAUAAAAAACAGUUUCAUCAGCGUAAAGAAAGAAAGAAAGAGAAAAUUAGAGGAUCGGUAAAUGUCAUUAAUAUACAGAAUAAGUAAAAGAGGACCUAAUGAUGAACCCUGGAGAACAUAGCAGAGAAAUUAGAAACAUGAUUUGCGUAUUUGGUACAUUGGAAACGAUUUGAAAGAUAAGUUUAACGUGGGACCCAGAAUGCCAUAAUGUGAAAACUGAACCUUGUGUUGGCAAGCCUGGAAACAAGGGACAAGAGAACAGUAAAACGAAACAAGAAGCAACAUAAACAGAAAAGACAUGAGGUUGUA